This 405-nucleotide ribosomal RNA is filed under the name uncultured bacterium. RNAcentral describes it as "bacterial SSU rRNA". It matches the Rfam family "Bacterial small subunit ribosomal RNA", at positions 355 to 776 of the family's 1533-position model. The record is from RNAcentral.
UGGGGAAUUUUGCGCAAUGGGGGAAACCCUGACGCAGCAACGCCGCGUGGACGAUGAAGCUUCUUGGAGUGUAAAGUCCUUUCGGCAGGGACGAAUUAUGACGGUACCUGCAGAAGAAGCCCCGGCUAACUUCGUGCCAGCAGCCGCGGUAAUACGAGGGGGGCGAGCGUUGUUCGGAAUUAUUGGGCGUAAAGGGCGCGUAGGCGGUGUGGCAAGUCAGGUGUGAAACCUCCAGGCUCAACUUGGAGCUUGCAUCUGAAACUGCCGUGCUAGAGUGUGGGAGAGGAGAGUGGAAUUCCUGGUGUAGCGGUGAAAUGCGUAGAUAUCAGGAGGAACACCGGUGGCGAAGGCGGCUCUCUGGACCACAACUGACGCUGAGGCGCGAAAGCUAGGGGAGCAAACAGG